GAUGAACGCUGGCGGCGUGCCUAAUACAUGCAAGUCGAGCGAACAGACGAGGAGCUUGCUCCUCUGACGUUAGCGGCGGACGGGUGAGUAACACGUGGAUAACCUACCUAUAAGACUGGGAUAACUUCGGGAAACCGGAGCUAAUACCGGAUAAUAUAUUGAACCGCAUGGUUCAAUAGUGAAAGACGGUUUUGCUGUCACUUCUAGAUGGAUCCGCGCCGCAUUAGCUAGUUGGUAAGGUAACGCCUUACCAAGGCGACGAUGCGUAGCCGACCUGAGAGGGUGAUCGGCCACACGGGAACUGAGACACGGUCCAGACUCCUACGGGAGGCAGCAGUAGGGAAUCUGCCGCAAUGGGCGAAAGCCUGACGGAGCAACGCCGCGUGAGUGAUGAAGGUCUUCGGAUCGUAAAACUCUGUUAUUAGGGAAGAACAAAUGUGUAAGUAACUAUGCACGUCUUGACGGUACCUAAUCAGAAAGCCACGGCUAACUACGUG
Molecule: ribosomal RNA, 497 nt
Filed under: uncultured bacterium
Lineage: Bacteria
Description: partial 16S ribosomal RNA
Rfam family: Bacterial small subunit ribosomal RNA
Source: RNAcentral